Molecule: ribosomal RNA, 427 nt
Filed under: uncultured bacterium
Lineage: Bacteria
Also listed under: 1 other name
Description: bacterial SSU rRNA
Rfam family: Bacterial small subunit ribosomal RNA
Source: RNAcentral
UGCAGUCGACGGGCUCUUCGGAGCAAGUGGCGGACGGGUGAGUAACGCGUGAGAAUGUGCCUUGAGGAUGGGGAUAACAAUAGGAAACUAAUGCUAAGACCCAAUGUGCCUUAAGUGGUGAAAAAUGAAAAUUGCCUGAAGAGGAGCUCGCGUCUGAUUAGCUAGUUGGGGUGGUAAAAGCGCACCAAGGCGACGAUCAGUAGCUGGUCUGAGAGGAUGAGCAGCCACACUGGGACUGAGACACGGCCCAGACUCCUACGGGAGGCAGCAGUGGGGAAUUUUCCGCAAUGGGCGAAAGCCUGACGGAGCAAUACCGCGUGAGGGAGGAAGGCUCUUGGGUUGUAAACCUCAAAACUUAGGGAAGAAAAAAAUGACGGUACCUAAUUUAAGCAUCGGCUAACUCCGUGCCAGCAGCCGCGGUAAUACG